CGCAGUGUUUACGACAUAAUCCUGUUGGUAACUUGGCAUGGCUACUUCAAUACUCUCCCUCAUCCUUCCUUCUCCAUCCCCUUCUACUGCUACUAAUCAUCUUCUCCCUUUCUCUUCUGAUUUCAAGGGCAAGCCAACAACUCUGAGGGAGAAUCCAUCCCCAUUUCCUUCCAUAAAUCUCUAUUUGUAGCCUCGGAAGUCUCUUCUCGUUCAGAAUUCUGCUGGAAAUGCUCGAUUUCCCCUCGAUAAUCCCGGAAGAAGGCGAAAAGAAAGGGUCCGCCGGGCAGGGGGGCAGCUGCGGCUUCGGAAUGAGGGGUCAGAAAUCGAGGAGGGGAUUUCAGGGCGGCCAGAUGCCCCUCUAUCGAAGAAUCCCCAAAUUGAGGGGAAUUGCUGGAGGUACUAUAAUAUUUCUUUCAAAUUGUUGAAUCAAUUUGCCUAAUUAUGUUUUUAUUUGGGUAAAUAGUGUUGGUGAUUAUCUUCUCAUAGGAUUAUGAAAGGUGGUUGUGAGUUUGGUUGAUUUGAAUUUCUGAAGUCUAAUGGAUUGUGUAUAUGCUAUCUAGUUACUGAUAUCGAGUAGAGUGGAUUCAUUCUUGUUAUUUAAUUUCAGGUCAUUCAAUGUAGUUUGUUCCUCUAGUACAGUCUUAUUAGAUUAAGUUCUAGAUCAUAAGCCUUGUGUUGUGUGUGUGCUUUGUUGAGUGGAAAGUUUAGAGUAUUGAGGUAAAAUGUGAAGAGGGCUUCCUUUUCGUUCGAGUUCUUCAUAGCAGCAGUAAAGUUAUACUAUUAGGAUAUCAUGCUUGCCAAAUAUUUUCAUAUUAAUUACUUGGUCUAUUUGAGAAUAUAUGUAGAAGGGUAUAAGAUAUUUCUAUAUGUAAUUAUGUAUUGGUUGGUUAGCUUGAUUGAUCACCUUGUGUGUGACUUUUUUGUUUUAAGAUGUGUUUCAGUUUUUACAAAUAGUAGCCUGUGAGUGCACGCACAGAUGCGAGUUGCAGGUGUAUGCAGUCAGGAUAUGCUUGUCAACGAUUGUCUCUGUGGCUGUAUUUUGUUUCAAAUGAUGUUUGGGAACAAGUAAUCGUAAUCUUUAGUACCUUGGGGAAGUUGGUUGCUUUAUUUGAAUUAAGUUCAGUUGGUACCUCAUAAGUCAUAACUAAUUUUUUUGCAUCAUCUGUUUGCAAUGUUUGAAGCUUCUUAUCUGAUGAUCAUAGCAUUGCGAUACCAGUUUUGUGAUGUAAACCUCCUCGUUGAUUAUUCUGUAAACUUUCCUGCCUGAAGCAUCAUCUGAGAUGUUCAAAUGAGCACAUUAUAUACUUAAGUUAUGCGGAUACUAAUGUGGCUUGCUUUCGUAUAUCCUGGCAUAGUGCUGGACUACCAAUGUAUGUACCUGUGAACUUGAAAGAUAUUGCAGAUGCUGAAUUUGAAGAAGGAGAAGAAGUUUCGUUGGAGUCCUUGUCUCCUUGAAGGGAAAGAAGACUUCCUCUCAAUGUAACGAACAAUUGAAUGCUAAAAUAUCUUAGGAGAGGGACUUGAGUGUGAAGCUCGACUUCAAGGCCCGAGCUUUCUCAGCAUCAGCAAAAGAGAAGAUUGAGGCAGCUGGUUGCUCACUACCUGUGCUUCCAGGGCGAAAGAAAUGGGUGAAGCCAUCUGUAUCGAAGAACCUUGCCCGUGCUGAAGAGUACUUCGCCAAGAAACGUGCUUCAACUGACUGGACCGACUCACCUUCUGCUUGAGCCUCAAUUUUCUGAGGUAGUAUAAGAUAUGUAAAGCAAGUAUUCAUUGUUGUAUGUUCAAAAUUUUAUCUUUUGUAGGUUUUUUACAUUGAAACCAUAUUGAGUACUAUUUGUUGAAUAUGUCAAAUUGUAUCAAAUGGUUCAUACGGCUGGUGUUGAAUUAA
This is a long non-coding RNA of Salvia splendens (bonfire salvia), 1888 nucleotides long. RefSeq lists it as uncharacterized. The transcript has 3 exons. NCBI's taxonomy places the organism in Eukaryota, Viridiplantae, Streptophyta, Magnoliopsida, Lamiales, Lamiaceae. The record is from RefSeq and is a predicted model, not a curated record.